Molecule: long non-coding RNA, 917 nt
Organism: Lycium barbarum (goji berry)
Lineage: Eukaryota; Viridiplantae; Streptophyta; Magnoliopsida; Solanales; Solanaceae
Exons: 3
Source: RefSeq, a predicted model, not a curated record
UCUGAAUACAACUUGAAGUUGUAUUCCGAAAUACCAAAAACUCAAAAAUCUUGUUUUUCAAAUUUUUUUCACUUUUUUCACUUUUUUACAACUACAUUUCACGAAAAACUACAAUUUCAAAAACUAUGGCCAAACACAACUCAAACUCCAAAAUUCCAAAAAAAAAGUGUUUUUUUUUUUUUUGGUAUCUGUUACACCUCAGAAGAAAAAAAAAUUGAGUCCAUGAAAUAAUUCUGCGGAUGAACAGUAACACGGCGAACAGUAGAUGCGGAUGAACAGUAACACGGGAACAGUAGACGCGGAUGAACAGUACUCGGUGAACAGUAAAAAUCUGGAAAGUAAAAACCGAAAAAUCUGAUUUUUUUUCUUCAUUUUUACCUCUCUCUCUCACCCUAAACUCUCUCUAAACCCUCCCAAACCCUCCUAAAAUCUCUCUAAAUUUUUCAAGUUGAAGUCCUCCAAAUCAAACCAAGAUUUCAUCUUAGGAAUUGGAAACUAGUUAAGAAAGGAUUAUAGUAUUUGGUGCUUGAUGUGUGGUUGAUUAUUGAAGCUUGGAGCUAGGAUUUUAGUUGAGUAUUCUGGGCAAUAAGGUAACGACGUGACAUUGGGGGAGGUCAAGUGAACGAUAAACGACAAAGGUAGACAGGGAGGUGAGCUUGGUCCAGACCCUUAAUAGCUGUCAGCUGAUUGAGAGCACUCCAUUGUCCGGAGGUGCUUAUGAUUCUUCUUUUGGUAUAUAUGCAUAUUUUGGGCACGACGGAGUCUUGUUCCGUUUUUAUGUUUAGUAUGUCAGUAGAGGCUCGUAGAUACGCAGUGUGGGUCAGAUGGUCUCACAAGAUGUUAUUAUUAUAUAUAUAUUAUUUUGAUGACUGAGAGGCAAAUGUAUAUAAGUAUUUAUGUUUCUAUAUAAAAUAUGA